Penaeus indicus is the source of this 566-nucleotide long non-coding RNA. RefSeq lists it as uncharacterized. The transcript has 3 exons. The record is from RefSeq and is a predicted model, not a curated record. Lineage: Eukaryota; Metazoa; Arthropoda; Malacostraca; Decapoda; Penaeidae.
CAACUUUGUCCCCUUCCGGCCGUAUGAGGCGAGCAGAGUCUUCUACCAGAAUGUGACUCGGGUGAAGGUCACUUGCAUUUACUGCAGCUGCGAACUGCUCACUUACGAUGUUCUGGAGGCCCAUAAUGCAGGCAGGAAGCACAAGAAACAAUUUGAAGGAGUGCAGAUAAAUAAUCUAGAACAACCAGGUUCUCACAGAACCGGUAAACCCCAGGAAAUAGUCAAUGAGUCACAUGUUACAAAUCGUGACCCAUCGGCAUCAGGUUGUGAACCACCUGUAGUACAACUUAAACGUCCUGUAGAAGCUUUUGAGCCACCUGUAGUCAGCCAUAAGGUAACAGCAGUACAGGAUAAGAUUUCUGGUGCCAGUUUUCACAAGACACCUGUUGCCUGCAGGAAAGCACCUGCCACAACAGCAGUACAGAGACCAGCCAAAAAACAGAAAUCAACUCAACUGCAGAAGUAAAAGGAUCGAUGGCAGCUGAGCUUUUACACAUGGUAUGGAACCAGUUGGCUAAAACAGGAAGUGUUCUGGUGAAUGUGAUGAAAGAAGAAGAGAAAGAUAG